RNAcentral lists this ribosomal RNA (506 nucleotides) under uncultured bacterium. RNAcentral's name for it is "partial 16S ribosomal RNA". It matches the Rfam family "Bacterial small subunit ribosomal RNA", at positions 29 to 523 of the family's 1533-position model. The record is from RNAcentral.
AUUGAACGCUGGCGGCAGGCCUAACACAUGCAAGUCGGACGGUAGCACAGAGGAGCUUGCUCCUCGGGUGACGAGCGGCGGACGGGUGAGUAAUGUCUGGGGAUCUGCCCGAUAGAGGGGGAUAACCACUGGAAACGGUGGCUAAUACCGCAUAACGUCGCAAGACCAAAGAGGGGGACCUUCGGGCCUCCCACUAUCGGAUGAACCCAGAUGGGAUUAGCUAGUAGGCGGGGUAACGGCCCACCUAGGCGACGAUCCCUAGCUGGUCUGAGAGGAUGACCAGCCACACUGGAACUGAGACACGGUCCAGACUCCUACGGGAGGCAGCAGUGGGGAAUAUUGCACAAUGGGCGCAAGCCUGAUGCAGCCAUGCCGCGUGUAUGAAGAAGGCCUUCGGGUUGUAAAGUACUUUCAGCGGGGAGGAAGGCGAUAAGGUUAAUAACCUUGUCGAUUGACGUUACCCGCAGAAGAAGCACCGGCUAACUCCGUGCCAGCCGCCGCAGUAA